CUCCCCUUUCUGACACCUUCCUAGGAGGGAACCAACGAGGUGACACAAUUGUAUUAACAGACAGAUGAACUGACAUUUUUGAGAGUGGCCAAGAAAAUGUUACCAUUCAUAAUUCCUGCAGGAAAAAUAUUAAUUUUUUGUCCUAUGUGGUGCUGUGGCAUCCAUGCAAGAAUAAAAUGAAUCCCAGCCAAUCUGAAAAAAAAAACAAAAACAGAGGUGGUAUCUGCUGUGUGCUCUAUUCUGGGUGAGCUAAGUGCUGUUUUGGCGAGUUUUUCAUGCUUCAUAAUGCACAGA
RNAcentral lists this long non-coding RNA (294 nucleotides) under Fukomys damarensis (Damara mole-rat). Its description in RNAcentral is "lncRNA (ENSFDAG00000024196.1)". The record is from RNAcentral. Lineage: Eukaryota; Metazoa; Chordata; Mammalia; Rodentia; Bathyergidae.